UGUGACAUACCACUUGUUGCCUCGGCGGAUCAGCCCGCUCCCGGUAAAACGGGACGGCCCGCCAGAGGACCCCUAAACUCUGUUUCUAUAUGUAACUUCUGAGUAAAACCAUAAAUAAAUCAAAACUUUCAACAACGGAUCUCUUGGUUCUGGCAUCGAUGAAGAACGCAGCAAAAUGCGAUAAGUAAUGUGAAUUGCAGAAUUCAGUGAAUCAUCGAAUCUUUGAACGCACAUUGCGCCCGCCAGUAUUCUGGCGGGCAUGCCUGUUCGAGCGUCAUUUCAACCCUCAAGCACAGCUUGGUGUUGGGACUCGCGUUAAUUCGCGUUCUCAAAUUGAUUGGCGGUCACGUCGAGCUUCCAUAGCGUAGUAGUAAAACCCUCGUUACUGGUAAUCGUCGCGGCCACGCCGUUAAACCCCAACUUCUGAAUGUUGACCUCGGAUCAGGUAGGAAUACCCGCUGAACU
This 465-nucleotide ribosomal RNA is filed under the name fungal sp. FJGKDF20. Its description in RNAcentral is "eukaryotic LSU rRNA". The stretch from base 124 to 277 matches the Rfam family "5.8S ribosomal RNA". Lineage: Eukaryota; Fungi. The record is from RNAcentral.